Misgurnus anguillicaudatus (oriental weatherfish) is the source of this 567-nucleotide long non-coding RNA. RefSeq lists it as uncharacterized. The record is from RefSeq and is a predicted model, not a curated record. Lineage: Eukaryota; Metazoa; Chordata; Actinopteri; Cypriniformes; Cobitidae.
AGGUUGAUACAUGCGGAAAGGUAAAAUAAAAAAAUCCAGCGCUGGGAAGGCCUGAAAACUUUGGUAAUUUUCCUUUUGACAGUGUUCAAUGAACCUGUUGAUUGUCAUGAUUUCACCAACACUUGUUCAUGCACCACAUAAUAACUUAAUUGUGGGAUUGAGGAAAUUGUGGAGAGUGCUGAUAUGUAUUGUUUAUUUUCCAGCAUGACUGUGUGUUAGAUUGCACAAAGCCACAGGACAAAGUAGUCUGUUCUAUCGGCACAACAGUCUUAAGAAGAGCAGACUGUGUUGGUCUGGUAACCAAUUAUAAACUGGAGGCAACGGUAAGUAACAUUUAUACGGUUCCAUUAAGGUUUCCUGUGCUAACAUUAUUCUUUUCCUAGGUUGUAAACUGCUGUCUUUCAUUGAUAUGCUGCCUUGCUAGACAGAAGGGAUUAGAUGUCCUUGCUGUGGAUUCCUAUGUUUUGGCAUGUUGGAGUCCACCUCACUGCCUAGACCCUUUUGAGUCACUACCAGCAGGUGCAGCACUUAAAGACUGCAUCCUUUUUCCUAUAUGGACACCGGCAC